AACGCACAUUGCGCCCCUUGGUAUUCCGAGGGGCAUGCCUUUUCAAGCGUCAUUACGACCAUCAAGCCCCGCUUGGUAUUGGGCCUGCGUCCCCUCGCGGACGGGCCUUAAAGCAAUCGGCGGCCUGGUGACCGGCUUCGAGCGUAGUAGAAAUCUUUUCUCGCUCUGAAGUCCGGCCUACGCCCGCCACGCAACCUUUUUAGAACCUCAAGGUUGACCUCGGAUAAGGUAGGGAUACCCGCUGAACUUAA
This 251-nucleotide unclassified non-coding RNA is filed under the name uncultured fungus. RNAcentral's name for it is "partial contains 5.8S ribosomal RNA, internal transcribed spacer 2, and large subunit ribosomal RNA". Lineage: Eukaryota; Fungi. The record is from RNAcentral.